RNAcentral lists this ribosomal RNA (253 nucleotides) under uncultured bacterium. Its description in RNAcentral is "partial 16S ribosomal RNA". It matches the Rfam family "Bacterial small subunit ribosomal RNA", at positions 524 to 776 of the family's 1533-position model. The record is from RNAcentral.
UACGUAGGGUGCAAGCGUUGUCCGGAAUUAUUGGGCGUAAAGAGCUCGUAGGCGGUCUGUUGCGUCGGCUGUGAAAACCCGGGGCUCAACUCCAGGCCUGCAGCCGAUACGGGCAGACUAGAGUUCGGCAGGGGAGACUGGAAUUCCUGGUGUAGCGGUGAAAUGCGCAGAUAUCAGGAGGAACACCGGUGGCGAAGGCGGGUCUCUGGGCCGAUACUGACGCUGAGGAGCGAAAGCGUGGGGAGCAAACAGG